UUUCCGUAGGUGAACCUGCGGAAGGAUCAUUCAUAAUAAAGUGUUUUAUGGCACUUUUUAAAAAUCCAUAUCCACCUUGUGUGCAAUGUUAGAUCUCGUCAAUCUUGGCGAGAUUUUUAUACAUCAACUCAUUCUUUAACUAAUUUAUCUGAAAAAUAUUAAGAAUACUUAAUUCAAAAUACAACUUUCAACAACGGAUCUCUUGGCUCUC
Molecule: unclassified non-coding RNA, 211 nt
Filed under: plant metagenome
Description: partial contains small subunit ribosomal RNA, internal transcribed spacer 1, and 5.8S ribosomal RNA
Source: RNAcentral